GCGUUAAAAGGAGAGAAGGUUAGCACUCCACUUGACAAGGAUGGAAGAGGUUCUAUUGACCUUCUUCAACACACAUACGGUUAAAGCAUUGCCUACUGUCUUACCAUGUUU
Molecule: small nuclear RNA, 111 nt
Organism: Megalobrama amblycephala (Wuchang bream)
Lineage: Eukaryota; Metazoa; Chordata; Actinopteri; Cypriniformes; Xenocyprididae
Source: RefSeq, a predicted model, not a curated record